CAGCGCUGAAUCCUGCGGCCAUUGGUCGUUGGGAGCUGUAGCGUAUAGGUGUAGCUGUUCUUUGGUUUUAUUCACCCAAAGUCCCCUUGAGUGGGGCCAUAAUCCGUAGAAGGUGCUAGACCUGUACGGGUGGUGAAGCCAUUGAUAUGGUUGCUCCUUGGAGUCGAGUUGCCUGGGAACGCAGCUCAAAGUAGGUGGUAAACCUCAUCUAAGGCUAAAUACGGCCACGAGACCGAUAGCAAACAAGUACCGUGAGGGAAAGUUGCAAAGAACUUUGAAGAGAGAGUUUCAAGAGGGCGUGAAACCGCUGGGAAGGAAACGGAUAGAGUUGACGAAACUCGGCGGCAUUCACCCGACRAUUCGUACUGUUGCUUGUGUUGUUAGCUGCUUCAUUCGUGUGGUGGCAAUGGCAUGGGUUUUGCGGUCGAGUAGUUGGUGUAUUUGCCGUCGGUAUGCGCCGAGAAGCUCGCUGUGGUGCGUUGAUGCUUGUCUAAAGAGGACCGCACUCGCAUGAGUGUGGAAACCUUUAGCGGCUGAGGCGUAUCCGUGGUGAGUGUGCAUCGCAAGGCAGCGCCCGUUAUGGUGCAAUGGCUGUUGCGUGAUUGGUGUGGCUGUUGGCGGUCGCGUGCGACUUGUCGACAGUUGACGCUGGUCCGUUGGCGGCUAUAUUGCGCUGGCGUAAAAUCUCGGUGUAAAAGUUGACCACCUAUCCGACCCGUCUUGAAACACGGACCAAGGAGUUUAGCAUAUGCGCAAGUCAUUGGGUGGAAAACCCAAAGGCGUAAUGAAAGUAAAGAUCGCUUCUAGCGGUUGAUAUGGGAUCCGCAGAGUUGAGAGACGAUGCGGCGCACCAUAGCCCCGUCCCUGUUGCUUGCAAUGGGGCGGAGGUAGAGCGCAUACGCUGAGACCCGAAAGAUGGUGAACUAUGCCUGAGCAGGAUGAAGCCAGAGGAAACUCUGGUGGAAGUCCGAAGCGGUUCUGACGUGCAAAUCGAUCGUCUGACUUGG
This 1007-nucleotide ribosomal RNA is filed under the name Aorurus agile. Its description in RNAcentral is "partial large subunit ribosomal RNA". It matches the Rfam family "Eukaryotic large subunit ribosomal RNA", at positions 110 to 914 of the family's 3401-position model. Lineage: Eukaryota; Metazoa; Nematoda; Chromadorea; Rhabditida; Thelastomatidae. The record is from RNAcentral.